RNAcentral lists this ribosomal RNA (506 nucleotides) under Plectus minimus. RNAcentral's name for it is "SSU rRNA". It matches the Rfam family "Eukaryotic small subunit ribosomal RNA", at positions 88 to 590 of the family's 1831-position model. Lineage: Eukaryota; Metazoa; Nematoda; Chromadorea; Plectida; Plectidae. The record is from RNAcentral.
CGCGAAUAGCUCAUUACAACAGCCACUGUUUACUUGAUCUUGACUAUCCUACUUGGAUAACUGUGGUAAUUCUAGAGCUAAUACACGCAAUAAAGCUCCGACCUUACGGGACGAGCGCAUUUAUUAGACCAAAACCAAUCGGGCUUCGGCCUGAGCCGUUGGUGACUCUGAAUAACUAAGCUGAUCGCAUGGUCUUUGUACCGGCGACGCAUCUUUCAAGUGUCUGCCUUAUCAACUUUCGAUGGUAGUUUAUGUGCCUACCAUGGUUGUUACGGGUAACGGAGAAUAAGGGUUCGACUCCGGAGAGGGAGCCUGAGAAACGGCUACCACAUCCAAGGAAGGCAGCAGGCGCGCAAAUUACCCACUCUCGGCACGAGGAGGUAGUGACGAAAAAUAACGAGGCGGUUCUCUAUGAGGCCCGCUAUCGGAAUGGGUACAAUUUAAACCCUUUAACGAGGACCUAUGAGAGGGCAAGUCUGGUGCCAGCAGCCGCGGUAAUUCCAGCU